RNAcentral lists this ribosomal RNA (253 nucleotides) under uncultured bacterium. RNAcentral describes it as "partial 16S ribosomal RNA". It matches the Rfam family "Bacterial small subunit ribosomal RNA", at positions 524 to 776 of the family's 1533-position model. The record is from RNAcentral.
GACAGAGGGUGCAAACGUUGUUCGGAAUUACUGGGCGUAAAGCGCGUGUAGGCGGCCCUGCAAGUCGGAUGUGAAAUCCCACGGCUCAACCGUGGAAGUGCAUUCGAAACUGCAGGGCUAGAGUCCUGGAGAGGAAGGUGGAAUGCUUGGUGUAGAGGUGAAAUGCGUAGAUAUCUGGAGGAACACCGGUGGCGAAGGCGGCAUCCUGGACCGGCAUUGACGCUGAGGAGCGAAAGCCAGGGGAGCAAACGGG